UUUAAAUAGCUGCAGUAUUUUAACUGUACAAAGGUAGCAUAGUAAUUAGUCUUUUAAUUGAGGUCUAGAAUGAAUGGUUUAACAAGAGAAAGCCUUUAUUUAAUCAAUUAUAUUGAAUUUUACCUUUUUGUUAAAAGGCCAAAAUUUUUAAAUGGGACGAUAAGACCCUAUAGAUCUUAAGAUUUUACAUGAACAAAAAUAUUUAAGAUAAUUCAGUUUUUUUUGUUACAAAUCUUUUGUUGGGGUGACAUAUAAAAUUUUAAAUCUUUAUAUUUUACAUUCAUAAAUUAAUGGAAAUAAAUUUGAUCCUGAAUUUUGGACUAAAAAAAUAAGAUACCUUAGGGAUAACAGCGUAAUAAAUUUGUAUAGUUCAUAUAGAUAAAUUUGUUUACGACCUCGAUGUUGAAUUAAUUAAAAUUUUUGGAGCAGAAAUUAAAAUUUUAGGUCUGUUCGACCUUUAAAAUAUUACA
RNAcentral lists this ribosomal RNA (470 nucleotides) under Zhudelphax qiongensis. Its description in RNAcentral is "partial 16S ribosomal RNA". It matches the Rfam family "Archaeal large subunit ribosomal RNA", at positions 1999 to 2669 of the family's 2987-position model. Lineage: Eukaryota; Metazoa; Arthropoda; Insecta; Hemiptera; Delphacidae. The record is from RNAcentral.